Molecule: ribosomal RNA, 245 nt
Filed under: uncultured Ktedonobacter sp.
Lineage: Bacteria; Bacillati; Chloroflexota; Ktedonobacteria; Ktedonobacterales; Ktedonobacteraceae
Description: partial 16S ribosomal RNA
Rfam family: Bacterial small subunit ribosomal RNA
Source: RNAcentral
UACGUAGGGGGCGAGCGUUGUCCGGAUUUAUUGGGCGUAAAGCGCACGCAGGCGGUCGUGCAAGUUUGGGGUGACAGCUUCUCGCUUAACGAGGAGAGCGUCUCGAAGACUGCAGGACUUGAGGGCCAAAGAGGGACACAGAAUUCCGGGUGUAGUGGUGAAAUGCGUAGAUAUCCGGAGGAAUACCAAAGGCGAAGGCAGUGUCCUGGUUGGUACCUGACGCUCAGGUGCGAAAGCUAGGGGAG